This 169-nucleotide ribosomal RNA is filed under the name Gagea bohemica. RNAcentral describes it as "5.8S ribosomal RNA". It matches the Rfam family "5.8S ribosomal RNA". From Rfam's summary of the family: 5.8S ribosomal RNA (5.8S rRNA) is a component of the large subunit of the eukaryotic ribosome. It is transcribed by RNA polymerase I as part of the 45S precursor that also contains 18S and 28S rRNA. Lineage: Eukaryota; Viridiplantae; Streptophyta; Magnoliopsida; Liliales; Liliaceae. The record is from RNAcentral.
AUUAAGACUCUCGGCAACGGAUAUCUCGGCUCUUACAUCGAUGAAGAACGUAGCGAAAUGCGAUACUUGGUGUGAAUUGCAGAAUCCCGUGAACCAUCGAGUCUUUGAACGCAAGUUGCGCCCGAGGCCUUCGGGUCGAGGGCACGCCUGCCUGGGCGUCACGCAUCGC